Molecule: ribosomal RNA, 2890 nt
Filed under: Shigella dysenteriae
Lineage: Bacteria; Pseudomonadati; Pseudomonadota; Gammaproteobacteria; Enterobacterales; Enterobacteriaceae
Description: bacterial LSU rRNA
Rfam family: Bacterial large subunit ribosomal RNA
Source: RNAcentral
ACUAAGCGUACACGGUGGAUGCCCUGGCAGUCAGAGGCGAUGAAGGACGUGCUAAUCUGCGAUAAGCGUCGGUAAGGUGAUAUGAACCGUUAUAACCGGCGAUUUCCGAAUGGGGAAACCCAGUGUGAUUCGUCACACUAUCAUUAACUGAAUCCAUAGGUUAAUGAGGCGAACCGGGGGAACUGAAACAUCUAAGUACCCGAGGAAAAGAAAUCAACCGAGAUUCCCCCAGUAGCGGCGAGCGAACGGGGAGCAGCCCAGAGCCUGAAUCAGUGUGUGUGUUAGUGGAAGCGUCUGGAAAGGCGUGCGAUACAGGGUGACAGCCCCGUACACAAAAAUGCACAUAUUGUGAGCUCGAUGAGUAGGGCGGGACACGUGGUAUCCUGUCUGAAUAUGGGGGGACCAUCCUCCAAGGCUAAAUACUCCUGACUGACCGAUAGUGAACCAGUACCGUGAGGGAAAGGCGAAAAGAACCCCGGCGAGGGGAGUGAAAAAGAACCUGAAACCGUGUACGUACAAGCAGUGGGAGCACGCUUAGGCGUGUGACUGCGUACCUUUUGUAUAAUGGGUCAGCGACUUAUAUUCUGUAGCAAGGUUAACCGAAUAGGGGAGCCGAAGGGAAACCGAGUCUUAACUGGGCGUUAAGUUGCAGGGUAUAGACCCGAAACCCGGUGAUCUAGCCAUGGGCAGGUUGAAGGUUGGGUAACACUAACUGGAGGACCGAACCGACUAAUGUUGAAAAAUUAGCGGAUGACUUGUGGCUGGGGGUGAAAGGCCAAUCAAACCGGGAGAUAGCUGGUUCUCCCCGAAAGCUAUUUAGGUAGCGCCUCGUGAAUUCAUCUCCGGGGGUAGAGCACUGUUUCGGCAAGGGGGUCAUCCCGACUUACCAACCCGAUGCAAACUGCGAAUACCGGAGAAUGUUAUCACGGGAGACACACGGCGGGUGCUAACGUCCGUCGUGAAGAGGGAAACAACCCAGACCGCCAGCUAAGGUCCCAAAGUCAUGGUUAAGUGGGAAACGAUGUGGGAAGGCCCAGACAGCCAGGAUGUUGGCUUAGAAGCAGCCAUCAUUUAAAGAAAGCGUAAUAGCUCACUGGUCGAGUCGGCCUGCGCGGAAGAUGUAACGGGGCUAAACCAUGCACCGAAGCUGCGGCAGCGACACUAUGUGUUGUUGGGUAGGGGAGCGUUCUGUAAGCCUGUGAAGGUGUACUGUGAGGUAUGCUGGAGGUAUCAGAAGUGCGAAUGCUGACAUAAGUAACGAUAAAGCGGGUGAAAAGCCCGCUCGCCGGAAGACCAAGGGUUCCUGUCCAACGUUAAUCGGGGCAGGGUGAGUCGACUCCUAAGGCGAGGCCGAAAGGCGUAGUCGAUGGGAAACAGGUUAAUAUUCCUGUACUUGGUGUUACUGCGAAGGGGGGACGGAGAAGGCUAUGUUGGCCGGGCGACGGUUGUCCCGGUUUAAGCGUGUAGGCUGGUUUUCCAGGCAAAUCCGGAAAACUAAGGCUGAGGCGUGAUGACGAGGCACUACGGUGCUGAAGCAACAAAUGCCCUGCUUCCAGGAAAAGCCUCUAAGCAUCAGGUAACAUCAAAUCGUACCCCAAACCGACACAGGUGGUCAGGUAGAGAAUACCAAGGCGCUUGAGAGAACUCGGGUGAAGGAACUAGGCAAAAUGGUGCCGUAACUUCGGGAGAAGGCACGCUGAUAUGUAGGUGAAGUCCCUCGCGGAUGGAGCUGAAAUCAGUCGAAGAUACCAGCUGGCUGCAACUGUUUAUUAAAAACACAGCACUGUGCAAACACGAAAGUGGACGUAUACGGUGUGACGCCUGCCCGGUGCCGGAAGGUUAAUUGAUGGGGUCAGCGCAAGCGAAGCUCUUGAUCGAAGCCCCGGUAAACGGCGGCCGUAACUAUAACGGUCCUAAGGUAGCGAAAUUCCUUGUCGGGUAAGUUCCGACCUGCACGAAUGGCGUAAUGAUGGCCAGGCUGUCUCCACCCGAGACUCAGUGAAAUUGAACUCGCUGUGAAGAUGCAGUGUACCCGCGGCAAGACGGAAAGACCCCGUGAACCUUUACUAUAGCUUGACACUGAACAUUGAGCCUUGAUGUGUAGGAUAGGUGGGAGGCUUUGAAGUGUGGACGCCAGUCUGCAUGGAGCCGACCUUGAAAUACCACCCUUUAAUGUUUGAUGUUCUAACGUUGACCCGUAAUCCGGGUUGCGGACAGUGUCUGGUGGGUAGUUUGACUGGGGCGGUCUCCUCCUAAAGAGUAACGGAGGAGCACGAAGGUUGGCUAAUCCUGGUCGGACAUCAGGAGGUUAGUGCAAUGGCAUAAGCCAGCUUGACUGCGAGCGUGACGGCGCGAGCAGGUGCGAAAGCAGGUCAUAGUGAUCCGGUGGUUCUGAAUGGAAGGGCCAUCGCUCAACGGAUAAAAGGUACUCCGGGGAUAACAGGCUGAUACCGCCCAAGAGUUCAUAUCGACGGCGGUGUUUGGCACCUCGAUGUCGGCUCAUCACAUCCUGGGGCUGAAGUAGGUCCCAAGGGUAUGGCUGUUCGCCAUUUAAAGUGGUACGCGAGCUGGGUUUAGAACGUCGUGAGACAGUUCGGUCCCUAUCUGCCGUGGGCGCUGGAGAACUGAGGGGGCUGCUCCUAGUACGAGAGGACCGGAGUGGACGCAUCACUGGUGUUCGGGUUGUCAUGCCAAUGGCACUGCCCGGUAGCUAAAUGCGGAAGAGAUAAGUGCUGAAAGCAUCUAAGCACGAAACUUGCCCCGAGAUGAGUUCUCCCUGACUCCUUGAGAGUCCUGAAGGAACGUUGAAGACGACGACGUUGAUAGGUCGGGUGUGUAAGCGCAGCGAUGCGUUGAGCUAACCGGUACUAAUGAACCGUGAGGCUUAACC